Molecule: ribosomal RNA, 253 nt
Filed under: uncultured bacterium
Lineage: Bacteria
Description: partial 16S ribosomal RNA
Rfam family: Bacterial small subunit ribosomal RNA
Source: RNAcentral
UACAGGGGGGGCAAGCGUUGUUCGGAAUUACUGGGCGUAAAGGGCUCGUAGGUGGCCGACUAAGUCAGACGUGAAAUCCCUCAGCUUAACUGGGGAACUGCGUCUGAUACUGGAUGGCUUGAGUUUGGGAGAGGGAUGCGGAAUUCCCGGUGUAGCGGUGAAAUGCGCAGAUAUCGGGAGGAACACCGGUGGCGAAGGCGGUUCUCUGGGCCUUACCUGACGCUGAGGAGCGAAAGCGUGGGGAGCGAACAGG